RNAcentral lists this ribosomal RNA (2305 nucleotides) under bacterium. RNAcentral's name for it is "partial 23S ribosomal RNA". It matches the Rfam family "Bacterial large subunit ribosomal RNA", at positions 1719 to 2913 of the family's 2925-position model. The record is from RNAcentral.
GAAAGUGCUUUGCACUUUCACGAAACCGCACACACUACUUUGAAAAUAAAGUGGUGGAGGCCGCAGCGAAAGAUUCCCUGCCAACUGUUUACCAAAAACACAGCUCCGUGCGAACUCGUAAGAGGAUGUAUACGGGGUGACGCCUGACCAAUGCCAGAAGGUUAAAUACGGGUGGUGAUAUGACUUCGGUUGUAUUGCUGGCUUGUAUAAGCCCUGGUGAAUGUCGGCCGUAACUAUAACGGUCCUAAGGUUCCUCGCUUAUCAGCAAUGAUGAACGAGGAAGGACUAGGACUGUUAUAGAAAAAAGUAAACAAUUAAUUUAAAUUCAUUACAUGUUUAAGCUACCUGGCACGCAGUAAUGUGUGUUAGUCCAAUCAUGAUAAACGAGAGACCAACGUCAUGGACCCUACUUCGAAAGGAGAGGGUAAAGAUAGAGUCCAACUGAGAGGAAUAGUUGAGCGUAAUUCCUUGUCUGGUAAGUUCAGACGUGCACGAAUGGCGUAAUGAGUGGGGAACUGUCUCGAGAAGCAGCUCGGUGAAAAUACAAUACCGGUGAAGAUGCCGGUUACCUGCAGAUAGACGAAAAGACCCCGUGAGCUUUACUAUAGCUUGAUAUUGAAUAUGUUUUGUGUCUGCGUAGCAUAGUUGGGAGACUUUGAAGGAUAGGUUUCGGUUUAUCUGGAGUCAACAGUGAAAUACCAACCUUACUUGAGGCAUAUUCUAAUCUGUACGGAAAAAACGCACGGAGACAGUAUUUGGCGGGUAGUUUGAGUGGGGCGCUCUCCUCCUAAAAGGUAACGGAGGAGUCUAUUAAGGUCCUCUAGGCGCGAAUGGAAACCGUGCCGAUAGCGUAAUGGCAAAAGAGGGCUUAACUGCAAGACGGACAUGUCGAGCAGGUGCGAAAGCAGAGCAUAGUGAACCGACAACACGCUUUAGAUGCGGUUGAAGAUUAACGGAUAAAAGCUACCACGGGGAUAACAGGCUAGUUCUGCCCAAGAGUUCAUAUCGACGGCAGAGUUCGGCACCUCGAUGUCGGCUCAUCUUAUCCUGGAGGUGGAGAAGCUUCCAAGGGUUUGGCUGUUCGCCAAUUAAAAAGAUACGUGAGCUGGGUUCAGACCGUAGAGGAGUGAAAUAUAAAGAUUGUGCGCGUGUAAUUGUUUUCAUCUUUAUAUUUAACUUCUCUUAGUCUGAACCCGAGGCGAUGAGACUAAACUCAUCAAUAAUGACAUCAAAUCACGGCGGCUAUGCACAGUAAUGUGUAUAGACAAGCUGACUAAUUUCGGGAAAACCUAAACGAGCAAUCGUAUGGCAAUUCCGAGGGAAACAGUAGAGCAUACUGUGCCCGUAGAGACUAAACGUCAGCACCCCUUUCUAAAAAUUAGGGUUAUGCUAUAGUCCGAUCCCUCUUGAAAAAGAGGUUCAUACGGUUUGGAGACCAGAGUAUGAUGUAAAACACUAAUGCGUGAGACAGGUUGGUCUCCUAUCUUCUGCAGGCGUUGAAUUUUGAGGGGAUUUGCUCCUAGUAAGUAAUUGCUACUUUCAUGAGUAAUCAUGAUUGAAAAUGCUGCUCAUAACGGUGAAGCCUUCAUAUGGAUUUGGUCUAAGAAUUAUAAUACUUGAGGUCCUUGUGUUAUAAUUUGCUUGAGGACCAGAACCCUCUUUAAGGUAAUACCGUGGGAAGUCGAUCUAAAAUUAAAAAACAAUCGAAAUGAAAAAUUGGAUAAAAGAAAACUGGUUUAAGUUAGGUAUAUUAGUCAUAUUUUCCGUUCUUUCGUGGAGUAUGAUUAAUUUCAUGCAGCAAGCUGCUGACUUAAUGGAAAGUUUUGUUGAUAGUUAUGUUCGGUCUAAUGCACCAAAUCCACUAGAUCCUUUAGGGUUAUUUUAAUUUUAGGUUUGACCCCGUAACGACUCAUGUUGAAAGACACAUGGACUCAUGCGCUGAGGAAUCAUUUCUAUGAAAAUGACUGCUCGCAUGGGUAAGAUGCAGCCCCCCUACUUCAUUAUGAAUGAGGGGGAAGGUAUAGUCUGCGCUCCUAGAAAUAGGGGAAUAAAAACAUUGAAUUAUGUUUUAGUGACGAGAGGACCGGAGUGAACUGACCUCUGGUGUGGCUGCUGUCCUGCCAAGGGCACCGCAGCGUAGCUAUGUCGGGAAUGGAUAACCUCUGAAAGCAUCUAAGAGGGAAGCCAACCCCAAGAUCAGAAUUCGUUUGAGGCCCGUGAGAGAUGAUCACGUUGAUAGGCUCUAUGUGUAAGACGAGUAAUCGUUUCAGCAGAGGAGUACUAAUACGCCGAUUCUUAUUGGGAA